UACGUAGGGUGCAAGCGUUAAUCGGAAUUACUGGGCGUAAAGCGUGCGCAGGCGGUUGUGCAAGACAGAUGUGAAAUCCCCGGGCUCAACCCUGGGAAUUGCAUUUGUGACUUGCACGGCUAGAGUGUGUCAGAGGGGGGUAGAAUUCCACGUGUGAGCAGUGAAAUGCGUAGAGAUGAUGGAGGAAUACCGAUGGCGAAGGCAGCCCCCUGGGAUAACACGUGACCGCCUCAUGCACGAAAGCGUGGGGAGCAAACAGG
RNAcentral lists this ribosomal RNA (260 nucleotides) under uncultured bacterium. Its description in RNAcentral is "partial 16S ribosomal RNA". It matches the Rfam family "Bacterial small subunit ribosomal RNA", at positions 524 to 776 of the family's 1533-position model. The record is from RNAcentral.